UAACAAACAAACAAACAAAACAAAAGCGAUCUCACACCAAAAGCCCUUUCCGUUCAUGGAUUUAUGGUCUUUCAGUCAAAUACGCAGGCCGACUUUGCAUGCCCUUUACCGCUAGGGAGACAAGAACAAGAGAAUUCGGGUCAAUAAAAGCCGGCGGUUUUCCGUACCUCUGCAGCACUUUCUUGGUGGAGGUGUUUAUUUUGUGAAGAUGGAGUUCAAGGCUAACAAACAGCAAUGGUCCAAGUCAGGUGUUCCCAAUACUGCAUCAACUUAGAUGUGUUGGACAUUCAGUCUUCAGAUACCAUUCCGUACGUCCCUCAGUCCGCCUUGAAAAGAGGAAGCCUCAUUUUUUUUACGCACGGGUCAUCUCGAUUGCUUCUUCCACAUCUGACAAAGAGGCUGCUCUCCAUUUUGGAUGCAUGUGAAGCUGGAUGGGAUAAUAAGGCACUGUGAUGGAGGCAAUGAAGAAAGUAGUUACAGUCUUCCACUGUGACCGCUAACGUGAUCUUCAGCGUCAUAGAAUCGUAGAAUCACCCAGGUUGGAAAUGACCCCCAAGACCAUCUAGUCCAACCAUCCACCUACACCAGUAUUUUGCCACCACACCACCAGUGCAACAUCUAAACGUUUCGUGAGCACCUCCAGGGACGGUGACCCAACCGCCUCCCUGGACCGCCGGUUCCAGCACCUGACCACUCUUUUGGAGAAGAAACGUUUCCUAAUAUCCAACCUGAGCCUCCUCUGGCACAGCCUGAGACCAGUGCCUCUAGUCCUAUCGCUAGUGACGCGGGAGAAGGGGCCCACUCCCCAGCCCACAACAGCCUCCUUUCACAGAGUUGUAGACAGCGAUAAGACGUCCCCGGAGCCUCCUCUUCUCCAGACUGAACAACCCCAGUUCCCUCAGCUACUGCUCGUGAGCUUGCUCACUCUGCCGCAAGCCUGUAGCAAUACAUGGGGUUGUUGCGGCCAAAGUGCAAGACUUGACACUUGAUCUUGUUGAACUUCCUCCCUUUGGCCUCAGACCAGCUAUCCAGCCUGUCCAGAUCCUUCUGUAGGACCUUCCAACCCUCAGCAGAUAGACGCUUGCUCCCAACGUGGUGUCAUCUGCAAACUUACUGAGGGUGCACUCAAUCCCCUAAUCCAGACCAUCAGGAAAGGUAUCAAACAGGUCUGUCCCCAGUACUGACCCACGAGGAACACCACUGGUGACCGGUCGCCAGCUGGAUUUAACUCCAUCCACCACCACUCUCUAGGCCUGGCCAUGCAGCCAGUUCUUUACCCAGCAAAGACGGCACCUGUCCAA
This 1301-nucleotide long non-coding RNA is filed under the name Numida meleagris (helmeted guineafowl). Its description in RNAcentral is "lncRNA (ENSNMEG00000003886.1)". The record is from RNAcentral. Lineage: Eukaryota; Metazoa; Chordata; Aves; Galliformes; Numididae.